Molecule: long non-coding RNA, 603 nt
Organism: Rana temporaria (common frog)
Lineage: Eukaryota; Metazoa; Chordata; Amphibia; Anura; Ranidae
Exons: 3
Source: RefSeq, a predicted model, not a curated record
AAUGUCAGACAUUGCUGGAUGGCUGCAGCAGCUGUACACACUCUACACUGCUUGUGUUUUCUUCCCAUCUUCCGAUCCCUCUACUGACCUCUCUGGCCACUUUUUGUCAUUACAGGUAAAAAUAUAUAUAUAUACAAUCAAUAAACUUUUACGCUGUGACACUUCGGGCCAAAGGUCUUGCUACGCUGUGAUUGAUAUUAGAUGCCAGUCCUCACUCCUCUCCUUACCAGGCUUGCCAUGCGUCCCGAUUGCGAUGUCCUUUUAAGGGGUGUGCUGAGCCGUUGAAACUUCUCGGGUGGUAUGAUUUUUUCUUAUCUGUACCAGUUUAAUGUUUUUCAUCUGUAUGUUAUUAUUUUCAACACAUUGUCAUUUAUUUGUUUUCUAGAAAAGUUGUCUGUUACACUUUCUGACUCCACACAUACUUCGGUCCCUGAAGAAGGAAACCCGAAACGCGUUGGGCCCAGUAUUUAUAUUGUGGACUCUUCACAUUUUUCCAAUACACCCCAUUAAUGUGUUGUUUUUAAACCUUUGUACUAUAUACGUUUACUGAACGUUGUUUGAUACCGUCCUGUUAUUAUUAAACUAUUAUAUAUUUUGUAUCUA